This 72-nucleotide transfer RNA is filed under the name Strongyloides stercoralis. It matches the Rfam family "tRNA". Rfam says of the family: Transfer RNA (tRNA) molecules are approximately 80 nucleotides in length. Their secondary structure includes four short double-helical elements and three loops (D, anti-codon, and T loops). Lineage: Eukaryota; Metazoa; Nematoda; Chromadorea; Rhabditida; Strongyloididae. The record is from Rfam by way of RNAcentral.
GGGGAUAUAGCUCAGGGGUAGAGCGCUCCCUUAGCAUGGGAGAGGGCUGAGGUUCGAUUCCCCAUAUCUCCA